GAUGAACGCUGGCGGCGUGCCUAAUACAUGCAAGUCGAGCGAACAGACGAGGAGCUUGCUCCUUCGACGUUAGCGGCGGACGGGUGAGUAACACGUAGGUAACCUACCUAUAAGACUGGGAUAACUUCGGGAAACCGGAGCUAAUACCGGAUAAUAUUUCGAACCGCAUGGUUCGAUAGUGAAAGAUGGCUUUGCUAGCACUUAUAGAUGGACCUGUGCCGUAUUAGCUAGUUGGUAAGGGAACGGCUUACCAAGGCAACGAUACGUAGCCGACCUGAGAGGGUGAUCGGCCACACUGGAACUGAGACACGGUCCAGACUCCUACGGGAGGCAGCAGUAGGGAAUCUUCCGCAAUGGGCGCAAGCCUGACGGAGCAACGCCGCGUGAGUGAUGAAGGUCUUCGGAUCGUAAAACUCUGUUAUUAGGGAAGAACAAAAGUGUAAGUAACUGUGCACGUCUUGACGGUACCUAAUCAGAAAGCCACGGCUAACUACGUG
RNAcentral lists this ribosomal RNA (497 nucleotides) under uncultured bacterium. RNAcentral's name for it is "partial 16S ribosomal RNA". It matches the Rfam family "Bacterial small subunit ribosomal RNA", at positions 28 to 507 of the family's 1533-position model. The record is from RNAcentral.